Molecule: long non-coding RNA, 1357 nt
Organism: Astatotilapia calliptera (eastern happy)
Lineage: Eukaryota; Metazoa; Chordata; Actinopteri; Cichliformes; Cichlidae
Source: Ensembl
GGUGCCACAGACCGGUGACUCUCUCAGGUACAGGGCCAAACAAAGUCCCAUAUGUUGCGGAUGAGGAGUGGCGAUUAACUGUUGCUUCCUGAAGCACGGCACUGCACCCACCCUUCUUUAGACAUCAGCAGUUGCACAAGUGCUUAAAGUCUAAAGCGCUUCAGACAAUUUUGAACAUGAUGUGAAACAAAAUUUAUCCCAAAAUAUAUUAUCUAUGCCCUCAAGUUCCACUGAGCUCAAAAUAGGGCACAGCAAUUUACAAACUUCAAAUUCGCCUGAGGGUUUAAAGUGUCUUCAUCAGUCCUGCUGAAGUUCUUCUUUUUUUCUUUUCUUUUUUUUCCUUCUGACCAAUCCAAAGUGCAGACUAACUGUGUGUGUGUACAUACGCCUAUGUUCUGAGUACUUUAUCUUGAUGAUGAAAAUGGAAAUAGGCUUGCUGAAUGUCCCCCAAGGGCCACAGUCCUCAGCCCCUGGUUAGGAGCCUAUUUCAACCAUCAUUACCCUGAGGACCAUUAGGAAGAUGCCAUCUGCACACACAGGGCCCCUCCAUCGGGGCUUCUUGUCACUUCAAACUAAAAGCAAGCAGCGGAAUGGAAAUUGGAAAUAAAAUUACACACUGUGCUAAAUGCACCAUUAACCAUGCUAACUGAGCGACCGACCUAUCGGGGCCUGAAAAUGAGAGCUGGACGAAGAGCAAGCAAUUUUCAGCAGUGACAGGGAAAUGAACGCACUGCUGGUACUUUGCUCUCGCUCACAUUCACAACUAUAACUCACCCAUCAGCAGAAUGUGACUUUCCUAAUGGUAAGAGAAUGAAAAAAACAAAAAAAACAAAGAGUUGGUUCAUUGCGACUGUGGGCGACAACCACAAAUGAGGGCUGAAUGUAGAUUUGUAUGAACUGUGCACAGUACAGAUGGGACCACAGACCACCACUGCUGCUGCUUAAGCAUUGGAUACGUUACACAGAAGCAUCCCACUAGUCCUGCACAACAGCAGCAGCACCUUUCCUCUGGUUAGCGCACCAGUUACAUGUCAAAUAAAAUAACCUGAAGGCACACUGCAAUGUCCUCGCAGCAGCAAAGAGUGCCAAGUCAUUGUACAACUAGGGUAGGAAACCGCAAGCCAUUUGUGGCUUCAUCAUCCUAUGAUAUCACUGCAGCAGCUGUGAGGAGUGGGGACAAGGCAAAAAAAAAAAAAAAAACCCCAAAGAAGAUCACAAGAUCUAAUCACACUUUCUGCUUAAACAUCUGACUGCUCCAGGAAAACAUCAUGCCACAGCCAGAACAAAAAGGCACAUGCUAGACGAGUAAGUGCUGGCUCUGCUGUUCAAUCCAGGCAAAGCAACCCUUAAGCUGAAC